Molecule: transfer RNA, 73 nt
Filed under: Loxodonta africana (African savanna elephant)
Lineage: Eukaryota; Metazoa; Chordata; Mammalia; Proboscidea; Elephantidae
Rfam family: tRNA
About the family: Transfer RNA (tRNA) molecules are approximately 80 nucleotides in length. Their secondary structure includes four short double-helical elements and three loops (D, anti-codon, and T loops).
Source: Rfam by way of RNAcentral
CCCUACAUGGUACAGUGGUUAAAGAGCUUGGCUGCUAACCAAAAGGUUGGUGGUUUGAAUCCACUUGGAGGCA